GUGGGGGUUUAUCCGUCGGCAAAACUUGGGAGUGUUGCGGGGGCUCAGCCGCCAGAGAAGUUCGGAGAGAUGCCGCCGAAGGUCAGAAGUCGGUAGAAUCUCCGGAGGGUUAUUCCCGUCAUGAACUUCGGCUGGGGGGUAUUUUAUACCCAACACAUACCUAUCUCUCAAGUAUUUGAAGGUUAGGGACCUAAAACAUUAAUUAGAAAGACCUCGUAGAGUUUCAUC
Molecule: long non-coding RNA, 228 nt
Filed under: Elaeis guineensis (African oil palm)
Lineage: Eukaryota; Viridiplantae; Streptophyta; Magnoliopsida; Arecales; Arecaceae
Description: long non-coding RNA (EGUI_LNC055334)
Source: RNAcentral